AUUGAACGCUGGCGGCAGGCCUAACACAUGCAAGUCGAACGGUAGCACAGAGAGCUUGCUCUCGGGUGACGAGUGGCGGACGGGUGAGUAAUGUCUGGGAAACUGCCUGAUGGAGGGGGAUAACUACUGGAAACGGUAGCUAAUACCGCAUAACGUCGCAAGACCAAAGAGGGGGACCUUCGGGCCUCUUGCCAUCAGAUGUGCCCAGAUGGGAUUAGCUAGUAGGUGGGGUAACGGCUCACCUAGGCGACGAUCCCUAGCUGGUCUGAGAGGAUGACCAGCCACACUGGAACUGAGACACGGUCCAGACUCCUACGGGAGGCAGCAGUGGGGAAUAUUGCACAAUGGGCGCAAGCCUGAUGCAGCCAUGCCGCGUGUAUGAAGAAGGCCUUCGGGUUGUAAAGUACUUUCAGCGGGGAGGAA
This 423-nucleotide ribosomal RNA is filed under the name uncultured Gammaproteobacteria bacterium. RNAcentral describes it as "bacterial SSU rRNA". It matches the Rfam family "Bacterial small subunit ribosomal RNA", at positions 30 to 449 of the family's 1533-position model. The record is from RNAcentral. Lineage: Bacteria; Pseudomonadati; Pseudomonadota; Gammaproteobacteria.